GGGGGCGGAUAGGUACUGGUGUGCCUCCUGGUCUUCAAAACCAGCCGUUGGGCGUUAGUAGCGUCCUGGGUGGGUUCGAUUCCCACACGUUCCCGCCA
This 98-nucleotide transfer RNA is filed under the name Clostridium sp. RNAcentral describes it as "tRNA-Sec". It matches the Rfam family "Selenocysteine transfer RNA". The record is from RNAcentral. Lineage: Bacteria; Bacillati; Bacillota; Clostridia; Eubacteriales; Clostridiaceae. RNAcentral also lists the same sequence under 4 other names.